Molecule: ribosomal RNA, 253 nt
Filed under: uncultured Acidobacteriota bacterium
Lineage: Bacteria; Pseudomonadati; Acidobacteriota
Description: uncultured Acidobacteria bacterium partial 16S ribosomal RNA
Rfam family: Bacterial small subunit ribosomal RNA
Source: RNAcentral
UACGGAGGGGGCCAGCGUUGUUCGGAAUCAUUGGGCGUAAAGGGCGCGUAGGCGGCCGGUCAAGUCGGACGUGAAAUUCCUCGGCUCAACUGAGGGACUGCGUCCGAUACUGUCCGGCUUGAGUCCCGGAGAGGGUAGUGGAAUUCCCAGUGUAGCGGUGAAAUGCGUAGAGACUGGGAGGAACACCGGUGGCGAAGGCGGCUACCUGGACGGGUACUGACGCUGAGGCGCGAAAGCUAGGGGAGCAAACAGG